This 406-nucleotide ribosomal RNA is filed under the name uncultured bacterium. Its description in RNAcentral is "partial 16S ribosomal RNA". It matches the Rfam family "Bacterial small subunit ribosomal RNA", at positions 29 to 526 of the family's 1533-position model. The record is from RNAcentral.
AUUGAACGCUGGCGGCAGGCCUAACACAUGCAAGUCGAGCGAGCGGCGGACGGGUGAGUAAUGUCUGGGAAACUGCCUGAUGGAGGGGGAUAACUACUGGAAACGGUAGCUAAUACCGCAUACCCUCAGAUGUGCCCAGAGGGGAUUAGCUGGUAGGUGGGGUAAUGGCUCACCUAGGCGAGGAUCCCUAGCUGGUCUGAGAGGAUGACCAGCCACACUGGAACUGAGACACGGUCCAGACUCCUACGGGAGGCAGCAGUGGGGAAUAUUGCACAAUGGGCGCAAGCCUGACGCAGCAAUGCCGCGUGAGUGAAGAAGGCCUUCGGGUUGUAAAGCACUGUCGGCAGGGAGGCGUUACCCGAAGAAGAAGCACCGGCUAACUCCGUGCCAGCCGCCGCGGUAAUAC